GUGUGACUGCGUACCUUUUGUAUAAUGGGUCAGCGACUUAUAUUCUGUAGCAAGGUUAACCGUAUAGGGGAGCCGGAGGGAAACCGAGUCUUAAUUGGGCGUUAAGUUGCAGGGUAUAGACCCGAAACCCGGUGAUCUAGCCAUGGGCAGGUUGAAGGUUGGGUAACACUAACUGGAGGACCGAACCGACUAAUGUUGAAAAAUUAGCGGAUGACCUGUGGCUGGGGGUGAAAGGCCAAUCAAACCGGGAGAUAGCUGGUUCUCCCCGAAAGCUAUUUAGGUAGCGCCUCGUGAAUUCAUCUCCGGGGGUAGAGCACUGUUUCGGCUAGGGGGCCAUCCCGGCUUACCAACCCGAUGCAAACUGCGAAUACCGGAGAAUGUUAUCACGGGAGACACACGGCGGGUGCUAACGUCCGUCGUGAAGAGGGAAACAACCCAGACCGCCAGCUAAGGUCCCAAAGUCAUGGUUAAGUGGGAAACGAUGUGGGAAGGCCCAGACAGCCAGGAUGUUGGCUUAGAAGCAGCCAUCAUUUAAAGAAAGCGUAAUAGCUCACUGGUCGAGUCGGCCUGCGCGGAAGAUGUAACGGGGCUAAACCAUGCACCGAAGCUGCGGCAGCGAACGUAUCACCCAAGACAACUUUACGGAGUUGACGAUUGACGGAGCGAAGCGACGUCAAAGCGUUCAUUAAAGUCGAGUUGGCUUAGGGAUACGUUCGUUGGGUAGGGGAGCGUUCUGUAAGCCUGUGAAGGUGUGUCGUGAGGCAUGCUGGAGGUAUCAGAAGUGCGAAUGCUGACAUAAGUAACGAUAAAGCGGGUGAAAAGCCCGCUCGCCGGAAGACCAAGGGUUCCUGUCCAACGUUAAUCGGGGCAGGGUGAGUCGACCCCUAAGGCGAGGCCGAAAGGCGUAGUCGAUGGGAAACGGGUUAAUAUUCCCGUACUUGGUGUUACUGCGAAGGGGGGACGGAGAAGGCUAUGUUGGCCGGGCGACGGUUGUCCCGGUUUAAGCGUGUAGGUGUGUGUUCCAGGUAAAUCCGGUU
Molecule: ribosomal RNA, 1037 nt
Filed under: Salmonella enterica subsp. enterica serovar Typhimurium
Lineage: Bacteria; Pseudomonadati; Pseudomonadota; Gammaproteobacteria; Enterobacterales; Enterobacteriaceae
Description: partial 23S ribosomal RNA
Rfam family: Bacterial large subunit ribosomal RNA
Source: RNAcentral